Oncorhynchus mykiss (rainbow trout) is the source of this 1766-nucleotide non-coding RNA. Lineage: Eukaryota; Metazoa; Chordata; Actinopteri; Salmoniformes; Salmonidae. The record is from RefSeq and is a predicted model, not a curated record.
CCUCCCGAGCCCUUUUGGGGAGUUGCAGCGAUGAGAACGAAAAAGGCGUUAAAAUGCAAAAAAAUAUAAAACGGUGUGUCUGAUAUAUGAAACAACUUCCUCAUAGCUAUUCAAAUAGGUUCAAGAAGAGGCUGCCUGAUUUUUUGGCUCAAAUCACUUGUGCCACAAAUGAUUUCUUUGAAAACCUGGGCAUUGUUCAAAAGGCAACUCCCUUCCACAAAGAAAAGAGGCGACCACUUCCUUGUGCCUCACAAAGAUUGUCAGACAGACUCGCUGAACUGAAUCUUGUCACACCAGAGCACAGUCUGUGUUCUGUCAUCUGAAACAACAUAAUGCUGUUCCUAUUAUUUUGUGGCGGAUGUUUUGCGUUGUCUGCAGGGCAAACCUUUGCUCCAACACCUUCAAUGGGACAAGGGAACAGCACAACACAGGUAACAACACCUCCAGCUCCCACUACUCCAUAUGUGGACCCACCUUUUGGUACUGACACAGCUACUAGUGGAUUUGCAAUUCUUCGAACAGCUGUCACUUCUUAUCAGGAGCUAAAUAAGACUACAGUUGAUCCAGUCUUGAGUCAGCUCUAUGACGUCAUUGGUGCGCAGCAACCUAAUCUGGAAUUUCAGCUGACUGUGAAAACUGUCCAGAAGAUUUGAUGGAUUAUGAUUCAAUGCAUAACAGGUUAACAUUUUUAUGGCACAUCAUGUGCUGCAACUUAUACAGUGUGCCGAUUUGAACUAUUAUACUACUUACUGAAUUUUCUACAAUAUUUUUAAUUCUGUUUCAGUAAAAAAAAUUUAAAGAGAUGCUACAGAGGUUUGUAUUCGACUCUGAAUUCCAAGUCGAGAACUCGGGCCUCUUUCUAGAGCUCCGACUUUUUGACCUGAAGGUCACUGACGUCAUGAUUCAACCUCGUUUUUUUCAGCGUUCCCAGUUGUCUUGAAAGCAGAGAAUGGCAGACUUUGAUGACAAAGUUUGCCCACAAGAAGGACUGCCAUGCCACCUGAUGUUGUGUAGUAAGCUGUUAGUAGCCCAUGUGUGUCACCCUAAGUCACACCCUUUCCCUCUCAGAAUUUAGCCUCGUGUUCUGACUUGGUGGACUGAUUAGCCUGUUUUAGAGAAAUGUCAUCAUCGAAUAUUAUAAGAGCUUUCAUUGUCUCCUUAUAUGCCCCCGUUAUUUAUCCUACAGUUCUGACUUGGCUAUACAGGCAAAAUACUGUAAGAAUGGCUGAUGUUCUGAAUGCUGUCGCUGACCAUUUCAAAAGUGUUGAACAAAUAGGCAUAUCAACUACAUCCGUCUUGGCUUGCUCAUCAUUAAUGUCUUAAUCGAAAUUACGGCUUGCCUCUUAUCCGCUCAUCGUUCCCUUAUGCCAUAGUUUGUACAUCUCAAUUGUUAUAUAGGUCUAUCUCAUUAGUAUCUAAUAAUUUUAAGCAAUGUUGGGAUUAUGCAUUUCAUUGUUUUGCUUACUUUGUGUAUUAUAAUUAGCUCAUGUGCUUUUCUUCCGCUAGGAGGGGAUACUAUAUAAUGUUGUUGGGUCUGUAACCAUGUUUGCCAGUGAUAGUCUCUUCCCAUUCAAAUAUUUUUUGUUCAACAAAAAGUUAAGUAAUGGACAUGUGAUUUCAGAUAAUAUUUGGAGGGUUGUUUUGUUUGCGCAAUGCGCUGUCUGUGCGUCUGUAUAUUGUCUAUAAAAGUGGAUCCUCGUGAUUGUGUUUUCCUUCCUUUUUAGACCAAAAUAGGCCUAAUAAAAUACUUCAAGAAGCUUCAAGAA